AUUCAGCUGACGAGUCCUAAAUAGGACGAAACGUGCAUCAAACUGGAU
RNAcentral lists this non-coding RNA (48 nucleotides) under Schistosoma margrebowiei. Lineage: Eukaryota; Metazoa; Platyhelminthes; Trematoda; Strigeidida; Schistosomatidae. The record is from RNAcentral.